This is a non-coding RNA of Myodes glareolus (Bank vole), 877 nucleotides long. The record is from RefSeq and is a predicted model, not a curated record. Lineage: Eukaryota; Metazoa; Chordata; Mammalia; Rodentia; Cricetidae.
AAUGAGAAAGGACAGUAUAUUUCUCCAUUUCAUGAUAUCCCGAUUUAUGCAAGAAAGGAUGUAUUCCACAUAGUGGUUGAGGUUCCAUGCUGUUCAAAUGCUAAAAUGGAGAUUGCUACAAAGGAUCCCUUAAUCCAAUUAAGCAAGAUGUGAAGAAAAGAAAGCUCCGCUAUGUUGCAAAUCUGUUCCCUUACAAAGGAUACAUCUGGAACUAUGGUGCCAUCCCUUAGACAUGGGAAGACCCAGGGUACAGUGACAAACACACUGGCUGUUGUAGUGACAAUGACCCAACUGAUGUUUGUGAAAUUGGAAGCAAGGCGUGUACAAGAGGUGAGAUAGAUAAUCAAGGUUCUGGGCAUAUUGGCUAUGACUGAUUAAGGCGAAACCGACUGGAAAGUCAUCGCCGUUAACGUGGAUGAUCCAGAUGCGGCCAAUUAUAAUGGUAUUUCUGAUGUCAAAAUAUUUCUGAAACCUGUUGACUUAGAAGCCACUGUUGACGGGUUUAGGAGGUAUAAAGUUCCUUAUGGAAAACCAGAAAAUGAGUUUGGGUUCAAUGCAGAAUUUAAAGACAAGAAUUUUGCAAUUGACAUUAUUAAAAGCACUCAUGAUUAUUGGAAAGCAUUAGUGACUAAGAAAACAGACGGGAAAGGAAUCAGUUGCGUGAACACCACCGUGUUGGAGAGCCCUUUCAAGUAUGAUGCGGAUGCUGCCAAAGCCAUUGUGGAUGCUUCUGCCACCACCAUGUGAACCUGCCUGCUCACUACUGACAGAUGUGGAUAAAUGGUUCCAUCACCAGAAAAACCAAUGAGAUGUCCUGGAAUCCAAGUGAUCCUGCUGCAUCCUGUUCACCUGGAAGCAUUAGACGCGAAAGUGUAGU